AAUAGAUACCCCGGUAGUCCAUGCCGUAAACGUUGGGCACUAGGUGUGGGGCUCAUUCCACGAGUUCCGUGCCGCAGCAAACGCAUUAAGUGCCCCGCCUGGGGAGUACGGCCGCAAGGCUAAAACUCAAAGGAAUUGACGGGGGCCCGCACAAGCGGCGGAGCAUGCGGAUUAAUUCGAUGCAACGCGAAGAACCUUACCAAGGCUUGACAUGCACGGGAAGCCACCAGAGAUGGUGGUCUCUUUGGACACUCGUGCACAGGUGGUGCAUGGUUGUCGUCAGCUCGUGUCGUGAGAUGUUGGGUUAAGUCCCGCAACGAGCGCAACCCUCGUCCCAUGUUGCUAGCGGGUUAUGCCGGGGACUCAUGGGAGACUGCCGGGGUCAACUCGGAGGAAGGUGGGGAUGACGUCAAAUCAUCAUGCCCCUUAUGUCUUGGGCUUCACGCAUGCUACAAUGGCCGGUACAAGGGCUGCGAUGCCGUAAGGUGGAGCGAAUCCCAAAAAGCCGGUCUCAGUUCGGAUUGGGGUCG
This 530-nucleotide ribosomal RNA is filed under the name uncultured bacterium. RNAcentral describes it as "bacterial SSU rRNA". It matches the Rfam family "Bacterial small subunit ribosomal RNA", at positions 777 to 1306 of the family's 1533-position model. The record is from RNAcentral.